This 524-nucleotide ribosomal RNA is filed under the name uncultured bacterium. RNAcentral's name for it is "partial 16S ribosomal RNA". It matches the Rfam family "Bacterial small subunit ribosomal RNA", at positions 355 to 895 of the family's 1533-position model. The record is from RNAcentral.
UGGGGAAUAUUGCACAAUGGGCGAAAGCCUGAUGCAGCAACGCCGCGUGAGUGAUGAAGGCCUUCGGGUUGUAAAGCUCUGUCUUUUGGGACGAUAAUGACGGUACCAAAGGAGGAAGCCACGGCUAACUACGUGCCAGCAGCCGCGGUAAUACGUAGGUGGCAAGCGUUGUCCGGAUUUACUGGGCGUAAAGGAUGCGUAGGCGGAUUUUUAAGUGAGAUGUGAAAUACCCGGGCUUAACUUGGGUGCUGCAUUUCAAACUGGGAAUCUAGAGUGCGGGAGAGGAGAAUGGAAUUCCUAGUGUAGCGGUGAAAUGCGUAGAGAUUAGGAAGAACACCAGUGGCGAAGGCGAUUCUCUGGACCGUAACUGAUGCUGAGGCAUGAAAGCGUGGGUAGCAAACAGGAUUAGAUACCCUGGUAGUCCACGCCGUAAACGAUGAGUACUAGGUGUAGGAGGUAUCGACCCCUUCUGUGCCGCAGUUAACACAAUAAGUACUCCGCCUGGGAAGUACGAUCGCAAGAUU